This 243-nucleotide ribosomal RNA is filed under the name uncultured bacterium. RNAcentral describes it as "partial 16S ribosomal RNA". It matches the Rfam family "Bacterial small subunit ribosomal RNA", at positions 91 to 334 of the family's 1533-position model. The record is from RNAcentral.
UAAAGUGGCGCACGGGUGAGUAACACGUAGGUAAUGUGCCUUUGGGUGGGGAAUAACUUAGGGAAACUUAAGCUAAUACCGCAUAAUGCGAUAACUUCUUCGGAAGAUUUUGUUAAAGAUUUAUCGCCUGAAGAGCAGCCUGCGGCAGAUUAGCUAGUUGGUAAGGUAACGGCUUACCAAGGCUACGAUCUGUAUCCGACCUGAAAGGGUGGUCGGACACACUGACACUGAAUAACGGGUCAG